Oxyura jamaicensis (ruddy duck) is the source of this 1300-nucleotide long non-coding RNA. RefSeq lists it as uncharacterized. Lineage: Eukaryota; Metazoa; Chordata; Aves; Anseriformes; Anatidae. The record is from RefSeq and is a predicted model, not a curated record. The transcript is spliced from 2 exons.
UGGACCUGAACCACAUGACUGUUUCCCUUCUAACUUAAUGCACAGACAUCUCAAACCAAGGAUAUGAGUGGGCUGAAACAACUAAUCGCAUUUUGGCACAGGCAAGUACAAAAGGAAACCCAGAACUACUAAUUCAACAGCUUGAAAUAUCAGCUGCUGCAUGCAAGAUCUUUAAAGAGCUCCUCUAAAGAGAACAUACCCUUUAAACUUGUAAUUUUUCAUUUUAAAAAUGUCAAAAAAAAUCUUGGAAAAAUACGGAAGAAACCAGCAUUGUUGAUACAAAGCCUGAAUCCACUGACGUCUAAUAGUGGAAUUACAAAGGGGAAAAGACAAAAAAAAAGGCAGCUCCAUAAAUUCACAGAUCACUCAAAGCUCCUGGCCUGGCAUUUGGAUCUGCAUAAGACAUGGCUGGUUAUGAAAAAGCCACUGCCAUCAGCAGCAACCCAAUGGUUCUUGAUUUUGGGAAGAUGCUUUCUUUUAAGAUUUUUAAGAAUUCUUUUGUCCAUCUUCCCAACAACAUCCUUAAAUAAUCUGGUGGAUUUCAGCAUGUAAGGGUUGAUUUUAUUUUAAGCAUAAGGUUUCACAGAUGAACCUGGCUUGUAAAACUGCUUUUUGUCAACUCAGUGAUCACAAAAAAUUGCAUGGAAUUAAUCACUUCUAUUGUCACUUGGAAAUCAAGAAUAAAAGUGCUAAUAUCUGGAAGCUGUAGAGAGAGCAUAUGUGUUAUCUAUUGAGAAAGACAGAUAAUAUGUACUGGGAAAAGAAAAGAUCUGUGAGGUAACUGUUAGAAGAAUUAGAAUGAAACCUAAAUGAGAGGAUUUCAAAAUAGAACAAAAAGAACAGAAGUGAGAAAAUAGUCAAAUUCUUGAAAACAGAAGCAUCAGAAAACAAAAGGAUGAAAGAAAAACUGAAUACAGAUAAUCAGAUAGAAAAGUUGUAUUUGUUCGCAUGAUAUAAAAGAAGCUUUAAGAUUUUGGAAAAAAAAAAAAAAAAAAAAAAAUGAAGAGUGAUCCAAAAUGUCAGCAGACCUAAAUGGCUAAUCAAAAAAUCCCACUCUUGAGGCAUAUACUCAUACUCAAUCCCAGCCAUGAAGCAUAUAUGUAUGCUUAGCUUUACCUCACACAAGUAACACCAGUGAGUUCAGCAGUAAGCUAGCUCCACCAGUGUAAAUCACACUUCUCCCUCUCUCCACCCCCAGUUUCAGCAAAUGCAGCCACAGUAAAGACUAGAGAGAGAAAGAAAAAAAAAAAAAAAAAAAAAAAAGACAGGAAGACAGAACUCAAAUGCAAUUUCCAAUUCA